Molecule: ribosomal RNA, 497 nt
Filed under: uncultured bacterium
Lineage: Bacteria
Description: partial 16S ribosomal RNA
Rfam family: Bacterial small subunit ribosomal RNA
Source: RNAcentral
GAUGAACGCUGGCGGCGUGCCUAAUACAUGCAAGUCGAGCGAACAGACGAGGAGCUUGCUCCUCUGACGCUAGCGGCGGACGGGUGAGUAACACGUGGAUAACCUACCUAUAAGACUGGGAUAACUUCGGGAAACCGGAGCUAAUACCGGAUAAUAUAUUGAACCGCAUGGUUCAAUAGUGAAAGACGGUUUUGCUGUCACUUAUAGAUGGAUCCGCGCCGCAUUAGCUAGUUGGUAAGGUAACGGCUUACCAAGGCAACGAUGCGUAGCCGACCUGAGAGGGUGAUCGGCCACACUGGAACUGAGACACGGUCCAGACUCCUACGGGAGGCAGCAGUAGGGAAUCUUCCGCAAAGGGCGAAAGCCUGACGGAGCAACGCCGCGUGAGUGAUGAAGGUCUUCGGAUCGUAAAACUCUGUUAUUAGGGAAGAACAAAUGUGUAAGUAACUAUGCACGUCUUGACGGUACCUAAUCAGAAAGCCACGGCUAACUACGUG